This is an RNA transcript of Lotus japonicus, 3251 nucleotides long. It is a transcript of the gene named G-type lectin S-receptor-like serine/threonine-protein kinase SD2-2, with no coding region annotated. The transcript has 4 exons. The record is from RefSeq and is a predicted model, not a curated record. NCBI's taxonomy places the organism in Eukaryota, Viridiplantae, Streptophyta, Magnoliopsida, Fabales, Fabaceae.
UCUUGGUUUGAAGAUUAGAAAUGAGAAAGAAAGAAAGAAACACGAGGCACAAGAGAAGCUACCUUCUUCCUUAGUCCUUGCCUCUUGUUUCAGUGGUAUGUAUGUAGCAUCAGAGAGAGACCCAGACAGACUCAGAUUCAUGUCGGAACCAACAAUGUCACUCUUUCUCUUCUUCUUCUUCUUCUUCUUCACUCUCAUUGCUUCUUCCUCUCAAACCAAAUCCACCACAUUACUCACCGGAAACACCACCAUUCACAGCGACAAUCAAACCUUCGAACUCGGCUUCUUCAACUUCGACAAUAACCAACCUCGCUGGUACCUCGCAAUCCGCUUCACUUCCCUCCCCGCCCCCAACAUCAUCUGGGUCGCCAACCGCCGCAAACCCGCCACCACUCUCUCCGGCGCCACCCUCCAACUCACCGAAACCGGUCAAUUGAUCCUCACCCAUUCACCAUCACCAUCACCCACUUCAACCCUCUGGCAAACCAACAACAUACAGGGUCAAGGUCAGGGAGUGAAGCUCAAGCUUCUCGAAAAUGGCAACCUCGUCCUCCUCUCCACAAACGGCGCCGUUUCAUGGCAGAGCUUCGAUGAACCCACCGACACCUGGCUCCCCGGCAUGAACCUCACCCGCUUCAAGACACUCACCUCAUGGCGCACGUUAGCGGACCCAUCUCCGGGGCUUUACUCUCUGCGGCUGAGGCCGCCGGACUACGGCGAGUUCGAGAUGGUGUUCAACGGCAGCGUUUCGUACUGGUCCACUGGGAAUUGGACUAAUGGGUCCUUCCUCAACGUGCCGGAGAUGACAGUGCCUUACAUCUACCGGUUCAAUUUCGAGGACCCGUUUUCUCCGACGGCGUCGUUUGGAUUCUCCGAGAACGCUUUGGACAAUGGGCUCAGACCCCCUACCAUGUUCCGUGUGGAGCCUUACGGCCAGGUCCGGCAGUACACGUGGUUUGCUCAGGCUGGGUCGUGGAACAUGUUUUGGUCUAGGCCUGAAGAGGUUUGUCAGGUUCGGGGACUCUGCGGGAGCUUCGGCGUCUGCACCGGCGAGAUUUCGAGGUUCUGUAAGUGUGUCGCGGGUUUUGAGCCUGUGGAUGGUGAUGGGUGGGGUUCCGGUGACUAUUCUGGGGGCUGCCGGCGUGAGGGAACGUGUGGUGAGAAUGAUGGGUUUGAAGAUCUGGGUGCUGUGAGGUUCGGUGGUGCUAAUGUGAGUUCUUUUAAGGUGAAAUCUAGAGGCUUGUGUGAGCGUGAGUGUUUAGCUUCUUGUGGUUGUGUUGGUUUGUCCUUUGAUGAAAGGGGUGGUUUGUGCAAGAAUUUUUAUGGGUCUCUUGUGGAUUUCCAAAAUUCGACGACUGCUUUUGCGGGUGGUGGUGAUGUGUUGUAUGUUAGGGUUCCCAGAGAGGGAUCUGUGAGGAAGGGGUUGAGUCAUAAGGUUUUGGCUGUUGUUGUUGUCGGGGCAGUUGCGGUUUUGAGUGUGGUGGUAGUGACAUUGUUGGUGAUGUGGAGGAGGUUGAAGAAGAAGGGGAUGGAGGAAGAUGAGUUUGUUCCUAUGUUGAAUUUGAAGGUGUUUUCUUACAAGGAGCUUCAAUUGGCUACUCGGGGGUUUUCGGAGAAGGUUGGGCAUGGCGGGUUUGGGACGGUGUUUCAAGGGGAGCUGAGUGAUUCCUCUCUAGUUGCAGUGAAGCGUUUGGAGAGGCCAGGGGGCGGGGAGAAAGAGUUCAGGGCAGAGGUGUCCACUAUUGGGAACAUUCAGCAUGUUAAUCUUGUGAGGCUCAGAGGGUUUUGCUCUGAGAAUUCUCACAGGCUUUUGGUCUAUGAGUACAUGCAUAAUGGUGCCCUGAGUGCUUAUCUGCGGAAAGAUGGGCCAUGUUUGAGCUGGGAUGUUAGGUUCCAGGUAGCAAUUGGAACGGCUAAAGGCAUAGCUUAUUUACAUGAGGAAUGUAGAUGUUGCAUCCUGCACUGUGAUAUCAAGCCUGAAAACAUCCUUUUGGACAGUGAUUUCACUGCCAAAGUUUCUGAUUUUGGGUUGGCAAAGCUCAUAGGCAGGGACUUCAGCAGGGUUUUGGCAACCAUGAGGGGUACAUGGGGAUAUGUAGCUCCGGAGUGGAUUUCGGGUGUGGCAAUCACCACCAAAGCUGAUGUUUACAGCUAUGGCAUGACAUUGCUAGAACUAAUCAGCGGUCGCCGGAAUGUAGAGACACCACCAUCUGCUGGUGGUGGUGAGAGUGGUAGUGAGACUGGAGAGAAGUGGUUCUUUCCUCCGUGGGCAGCACAGCAGAUAAUCGAGGGUAAUGUGGCUGCUGUGGUUGAUAAGAAGCUUGGAAGUGUAUAUAGCAUUGACGAGGCUGGAAGGAUUGCUUUGGUGGCAGUUUGGUGCAUUCAGGAUGAUGAGGCAAUGAGACCUACUAUGAAUAUCGUGGUGAAAAUGUUAGAGGGAUUAGUGGAGGUGACCGUUCCUCCACCACCUAAGAUGCUACAAGCGUUGGUUACAGGGGAAUCCUUUCAUGGGGUAAAGGGUGAUUCUGAGAAUGAAGUAUCCUCUGUUGGAAGCUUAUCCGGUGGCAACUUGGAAGUGUCAACUGCUGAUUCAGAAUCAUGUAUAGGGGAUGCUUCUUCCCCUCUGGAUUUCAACGUCAACGUUCGAUGACACCCUUUUUAGUCCUGAUUAUAGCAUUUUUUUAGCAGAUAAUUGAACAAGUUAUGAUAUUAUGGCAGAAGAUAGUUUUCUCCAAGGUUAUAUGAUAUUGGAAUUGAUAGCACCUAUGGUUCUUGAAAUCAACUAUGCCUGGGACAGAAUCAAGUUUCCAGUUUAACAUUUUUCCAUUAUUAAGAAAUUGGUCACCAGUCACCACAUCUAAGGUUUGAAGAAGUAAAAAGAGGAGUGGAGAUAAAAUAUGCAAUUCUAACUAGAUGUGAAAUACUGGUUAUUGCUGAUUAACUGUAUCUAGUUGCUGACAGCUGACCAUGAAAUAAAAUCUUUCUAAAGUUGUUCACUAGAACUUUUAACAAUUAUCUUGUUCUUUGAUGUUAAAGGGUGUGCUUUGACCUGCCAAUGAAUUAGUUUCAUGGUUUUAUAAUUAGAGAUGCAUGCUCAAUGGAUGGCUGAUGAGAAAAUUUCUUUGUUUUAUAACUUGUAUGAUGAUUGUUGCUAGACAUUUUUAUAUUUCAAUUACUGGUUAAUAUUUUGACUUUUUCCAUUUUUGUUUGCCUUGUAUCAUUCAUACAUUAGAACAAUUUCAAUAAACAAG